UCCCAUGUACUGCAGUUGGUAAAGAAUCUGCCUGCAAUGCAGGAGACCCAGGUUCAAUCCCUGGGUUGGGAA
Molecule: transfer RNA, 72 nt
Filed under: Bos taurus (domestic cattle)
Lineage: Eukaryota; Metazoa; Chordata; Mammalia; Artiodactyla; Bovidae
Also listed under: 2 other names
Rfam family: tRNA
About the family: Transfer RNA (tRNA) molecules are approximately 80 nucleotides in length. Their secondary structure includes four short double-helical elements and three loops (D, anti-codon, and T loops).
Source: Rfam by way of RNAcentral